RNAcentral lists this transfer RNA (125 nucleotides) under Xylaria castorea. RNAcentral describes it as "tRNA-OTHER". The record is from RNAcentral. Lineage: Eukaryota; Fungi; Ascomycota; Sordariomycetes; Xylariales; Xylariaceae.
GGUCGGUUAGCUCAGUUGGUUAGAGCGUCGUAUGUUGUUCUUAUCCACUGUUAGAAAAAAUAUCCACUAAUAUGCCACAGGUACUAAUAAUGCGAAGGUCAUGAGUUCGACCCUCAUACCGACCA